Molecule: long non-coding RNA, 1122 nt
Filed under: Rattus norvegicus (Norway rat)
Lineage: Eukaryota; Metazoa; Chordata; Mammalia; Rodentia; Muridae
Description: long non-coding RNA NONRATT029197
Source: RNAcentral
CACUGUGCUACCUGCACCAGCCCAGGAAGCACCUUCCCACGGAGUUCUGUGAUGCCCUUGACGGCUUCUCCAGCUUCUACAGCCACAGUCAGCACUACCCAGUCUUGGACAUGGGACCACAUCGGCGACUUCAGUGGACAUGGCUGGGCCGGGCUGAGCUGCAGUUUGGGGACCAGACCCUGCAUGUGUCCACUGUGCAGAUGUGGCUGCUGCUGAAUUUCAACCAGACAGAGGAGGUGUCAGUAGAGAUCUUGUUGAGGAACUCUGGCCUCUCCCCUGAGCUCCUGCACCAGGCCCUUCUGCCGCUCACCUCAGACAGUGGUCCCUUAACACUGGAGGAGGCUCAGGACUUUCCACAGGGGGACGUAUCUCAGUGUGGAAAAGGAUGAGGGCCGAACCUUGGAGCAGAAGAGGAACCUCUUGAGCUGCCUUCUCGUACGGAUACUCAAAGCCCACGGGGAGAAAGGCCUGCACAUCGAUCAGCUGGUUUGUCUGGUUCUGGAGGCCUGGCAGAAGGGGCCAAAUCCACCGGGGCGCCUGGGCCGCUCUGCUGCAGUGGGCGUGGCCUGUUCCAGCACUGACGUCCUCUCUUGUAUCCUGCAUCUCCUGGGCCAGGGCUACGUGGAGCGGAGAGAUGACCGACCUCAGGUCCUGAUGUAUGCCACCCCAGAGCCCAUGGGGCACUGCCGGGGCCAGGCAGAUGUCCCCUUUUGUGGCAACCAGAGCACGGAGACCUCCAAACCUAGGUAGCCACCCUUUUUUGGUGGAUGAGAGGGAUUGUAGGCCGAAGCUCACUGUGUAAAAGCAUUUGCUGUUAGUCCCUGCACUAGACAGGCAGAGGCGGGAGGCUCUCGGAGUCUGAGGUCAGCCAGGGAUACAAAGAGAGAACCUGUCCUAAAACAAAACCCCACUUCCUGUCUGCUCUGCUCGUUCCCUGUCUUCUAUGAUUUCUCCUCCUCGCAAGUCUUCACCGGCUUCUUCUCCACCUCCCCUCCCCCACGCCUUGCCAAUCAAGGGCCUUCUAGACCCAUUCUCCUAGAGCCAGCCCUCAGGCAGGAGACCCAAACGCACAGGUAUUGCUCUUAGCUUCGGCCUGUGCCGUAAAUCCACAUGGAGCGGCCG